Molecule: long non-coding RNA, 1417 nt
Organism: Eleginops maclovinus (Patagonian blennie)
Lineage: Eukaryota; Metazoa; Chordata; Actinopteri; Perciformes; Eleginopidae
Exons: 2
Source: RefSeq, a predicted model, not a curated record
UCCUGCUGCAGGACGUUCAGCAGCCGUUUGCUGGCGGAACUGCAGGGCUCAGGCCAGGUCAGGAAACUGUGGAACAACAGGUAGGCUUCCUGCAGCACAACCGGGUCUGCAGCCACGUGAGGACUCUGAGGAGAGACAAGGACCCACAGUCUGGAGCAGGUACUGGUCUCACCGUUCCAGAGUUGUUUGUCCAGAGUGUCGAUGCCCAGACCACAGAGGCAGCGCUCGAGGACAUGCUCGAUUCGAUCUUCCGUGCAAGAGCUUGAGUCCAUCUUCAUCAUCAUCAUCAUCUUCUUCUGCGGCUGCUGUGUGUGAACAUCCAACAGGAAGUCCCAAAAAUAAAAAAACAACAAUUACAGCUUUUGAUAGUGUUCCGGGAAACCUAAAUUAACUUCCUGUUUAUCGCCGUUUCCAGCCCUUUAUGAUCAUUAUUGUUCCUCUCAGGAGACAAUCAAACACAGUCCGGAGUUGAAGGUUUGAGUCGCUCUGACAGAGAUGCAACAAAGAGAUAUGUGAGGGCUGAAAAAAAGAGUCGAUGCCACUUCCUACCCAGAGCUUUGAGUGACUCAGACUGUGGCUGCAAACCGGAGAUGAGCUGGGGGAGCAACAUCAGUCACAACUUCUACUUCUCCACUUCAUUCUUAAAAAUCUCUGACACAACACUUCGUAUGACUCAAAGCGAGGAUGGAAAUAAACCUUGCACAAGGACCACUUCCUAUUUUUUGGCUUUAACGACAGACUUUCAGAUAAGUUAAAGAACAUCUAAGGUCGUGCAUAAAAUACAUUCGCUCUCUACAGAUCAUAUGACACCUGUGGUUAGGCUGGAUUUGAUGACAGGCGAGCAAAACCACACCGACCACACGAUGAAAUAGACCAAUUUUGUCACUGGGCUGAUUAAAGACUAUUUCAAUGCCAAUUUGGAUAGAAAUGUCUAAUUAAGACUGCAAAAAGGACAUACCGUUAAAUAAGGAAGAAGCUUUUCCUCCUGUUCUGCCUGCAGGAUGUCGAUGGAAGCAACGAUUGAGCCCAGCUGGGUCGCAGAGACCGGGGCUGAAUAAUGUGUGCAAUGAGACGACUGGGGUCACCUGUGCUCGUCAAAACAGGAAAAGGCCAACAGGGAAACAUUUAUUCAACGUAAAGACAAUGAGAGAAACUGCACAGGUCUCAACUAUUUAAAAUAAGGACUAAACAGUAAAGAGUGUACGCACAGCAAUAGUGCAUUGGUAGCCUACCUCCAUCAACAGUGACUGUCAUCUUUUAAAUUACAAUUGAUAGAAGAUGAGACUUAAAUGAUUGAUCGAAUAUGAUGUUCAACUGUCUAUCCAUUACUUGAGCUAGCUAUUUCAACUGUGUAUUCAUUAUUCUUUAGCUAACUACAUCAACUGUUAAAAACCAUUGCUUUUAGUUUACAAUCUUA